This 1948-nucleotide ribosomal RNA is filed under the name metagenome. RNAcentral's name for it is "bacterial LSU rRNA". It matches the Rfam family "Bacterial large subunit ribosomal RNA", at positions 1 to 1977 of the family's 2925-position model. The record is from RNAcentral.
UUAAGCGACUAAGCGUACACGGUGGAUGCCCUGGCAGUCAGAGGCGAUGAAGGACGUGCUAAUCUGCGAUAAGCGUCGGUAAGGUGAUAUGAACCGUUAUAACCGGCGAUUUCCGAAUGGGGAAACCCAGUGUGUUUCGACACACUAUCAUUAACUGAAUCCAUAGGUUAAUGAGGCGAACCGGGGGAACUGAAACAUCUAAGUACCCCGAGGAAAAGAAAUCAACCGAGAUUCCCCCAGUAGCGGCGAGCGAACGGGGAGCAGCCCAGAGCCUGAAUCAGUGUGUGUGUUAGUGGAAGCGUCUGGAAAGGCGCGCGAUACAGGGUGACAGCCCCGUACACAAAAAUGCACAUGCUGUGAGCUCGAUGAGUAGGGCGGGACACGUGGUAUCCUGUCUGAAUAUGGGGGGACCAUCCUCCAAGGCUAAAUACUCCUGACUGACCGAUAGUGAACCAGUACCGUGAGGGAAAGGCGAAAAGAACCCCGGCGAGGGGAGUGAAAAAGAACCUGAAACCGUGUACGUACAAGCAGUGGGAGCACCUUCGGGUGUGACUGCGUACCUUUUGUAUAAUGGGUCAGCGACUUAUAUUCUGUAGCAAGGUUAACCGAAUAGGGGAGCCGAAGGGAAACCGAGUCUUAACUGGGCGUUAAGUUGCAGGGUAUAGACCCGAAACCCGGUGAUCUAGCCAUGGGCAGGUUGAAGGUUGGGUAACACUAACUGGAGGACCGAACCGACUAAUGUUGAAAAAUUAGCGGAUGACUUGUGGCUGGGGGUGAAAGGCCAAUCAAACCGGGAGAUAGCUGGUUCUCCCCGAAAGCUAUUUAGGUAGCGCCUCGUGAAUUCAUCUCCGGGGGUAGAGCACUGUUUCGGCAAGGGGGUCAUCCCGACUUACCAACCCGAUGCAAACUGCGAAUACCGGAGAAUGUUAUCACGGGAGACACACGGCGGGUGCUAACGUCCGUCGUGAAGAGGGAAACAACCCAGACCGCCAGCUAAGGUCCCAAAGUCAUGGUUAAGUGGGAAACGAUGUGGGAAGGCCCAGACAGCCAGGAUGUUGGCUUAGAAGCAGCCAUCAUUUAAAGAAAGCGUAAUAGCUCACUGGUCGAGUCGGCCUGCGCGGAAGAUGUAACGGGGCUAAACCAUGCACCGAAGCUGCGGCAGCGACACUAUGUGUUGUUGGGUAGGGGAGCGUUCUGUAAGCCUGCGAAGGUGUGCUGUGAGGCAUGCUGGAGGUAUCAGAAGUGCGAAUGCUGACAUAAGUAACGAUAAAGCGGGUGAAAAGCCCGCUCGCCGGAAGACCAAGGGUUCCUGUCCAACGUUAAUCGGGGCAGGGUGAGUCGACCCCUAAGGCGAGGCCGAAAGGCGUAGUCGAUGGGAAACAGGUUAAUAUUCCUGUACUUGGUGUUACUGCGAAGGGGGGACGGAGAAGGCUAUGUUGGCCGGGCGACGGUUGUCCCGGUUUAAGCGUGUAGGCUGGUUUUCCAGGCAAAUCCGGAAAAUCAAGGCUGAGGCGUGAUGACGAGGCACUACGGUGCUGAAGCAACAAAUGCCCUGCUUCCAGGAAAAGCCUCUAAGCAUCAGGUAACAUCAAAUCGUACCCCAAACCGACACAGGUGGUCAGGUAGAGAAUACCAAGGCGCUUGAGAGAACUCGGGUGAAGGAACUAGGCAAAAUGGUGCCGUAACUUCGGGAGAAGGCACGCUGAUAUGUAGGUGAAGCGACUUGCUCGUGGAGCUGAAAUCAGUCGAAGAUACCAGCUGGCUGCAACUGUUUAUUAAAAACACAGCACUGUGCAAACACGAAAGUGGACGUAUACGGUGUGACGCCUGCCCGGUGCCGGAAGGUUAAUUGAUGGGGUUAGCGGUAACGCGAAGCUCUUGAUCGAAGCCCCGGUAAACGGCGGCCGUAACUAUAACGGUCCUAAGGUAGCGAAAUUCCUUGUCGGGU